Long non-coding RNA from Lemur catta (Ring-tailed lemur), 415 nucleotides. RefSeq lists it as uncharacterized. NCBI's taxonomy places the organism in Eukaryota, Metazoa, Chordata, Mammalia, Primates, Lemuridae. The record is from RefSeq and is a predicted model, not a curated record. The transcript is spliced from 3 exons.
GUCAGAAGAGCACGGAACUGGGUGUGCCUGCUGCCUUUGACCUCCCCUACCCCAGCCAACACUCAGCGGCAAAUUCAGACCUAACAAGUAUCAGUGCCUAAGAAUCCUGGUGACAAAAAGCCUGGCAAAUCCAAAACCUCCCCGGUGGCUCCCAGGGCAGGGUCAAAACAGAAAGUACAACCCCGGCAGCUGCGGCCACCACAGAAAGUCAACCAGGGGCUGCAGGUUCCUGCUGUGUCCCUUUACCCUUCUCAGAAGAAAGUCCCCGUAAAGGAUCUUCCACAUUUUGAAGAUGAACAAGUAUCUGCUGUUUAAGGCACAGGCGAGCCACCUACAAGGAGAGCACAAGAAGACGUCUCUAUCAUUGGAGCCUUGGAACUCACAUUCUGAGGAUGGUGGACCAGUUUGCCUCCUU